UACGUAGGGUGCGAGCGUUAAUCGGAAUUACUGGGCGUAAAGCGUGCGCAGGCGGUUCGUUGUGUCCGAUGUGAAAGCCCCGGGCUUAACCUGGGAAUGGCAUUGGAAACUGGCGGGCUUGAGUGCGGCAGAGGGGGGUGGAAUUCCGCGUGUAGCAGUGAAAUGCGUAGAGAUGCGGAGGAACACCGAUGGCGAAGGCAGCCCCCUGGGUCGACACUGACGCUGAGGAGCGAAAGCGUGGGGAGCGAACAGG
RNAcentral lists this ribosomal RNA (253 nucleotides) under uncultured bacterium. Its description in RNAcentral is "partial 16S ribosomal RNA". It matches the Rfam family "Bacterial small subunit ribosomal RNA", at positions 524 to 776 of the family's 1533-position model. The record is from RNAcentral.